AUACGGGAGGCAGCAGUAAGGAAUAUUGGUCAAUGGACGCAAGUCUGAACCAGCCAUGCCGCGUGAAGGAUGAAGGUCCUCUGGAUUGUAAACUUCUUUUAUAUGGGAAGAAAUCCAUCUUUUCUUGGGUGGUUGACGGUACCAUAGGAAUAAGCACCGGCUAACUCCGUGCCAGCAGCCGCGGUAAUACGGAGGGUGCAAGCGUUAUCCGGAUUCACUGGGUUUAAAGGGUGCGUAGGAGGGCAGGUAAGUCAGUGGUGAAAUCUCCAAGCUUAACUUGGAAACUGCCGUUGAUACUAUCUGUCUUGAAUACCGUGGAGGUGAGCGGAAUAUGUCAUGUAGCGGUGAAAUGCUUAGAUAUGACAUAGAACACCAAUUGCGAAGGCAGCUCGCUACACGAAUAUUGACUCUGAGGCACGAAAGCGUGGGGAUCAAACAGGAUUAGAUACCCCGGUAGG
RNAcentral lists this ribosomal RNA (458 nucleotides) under uncultured bacterium. Its description in RNAcentral is "bacterial SSU rRNA". It matches the Rfam family "Bacterial small subunit ribosomal RNA", at positions 339 to 794 of the family's 1533-position model. The record is from RNAcentral.